UACGUAGGUGGCGAGCGUUGUCCGGAUUUACUGGGCGUAAAGGGCGUGCAGGCGGUUUGUUAAGUGCAGGGUGAAAGCUCCCGGCUCAACUGGGAGAGGUCCUUGCAUACUGGCGAACUCGAGGGAGGCAGAGGAAAGUGGAAUUCCCGGUGUAGUGGUGAUAUGCGUAGAUAUCGGGAGGAACACCUGUGGCGAAGGCGGCUUUCUGGGCCUUACCUGACGCUGAGACGCGAAAGCGUGGGGAGCGAACCGG
Molecule: ribosomal RNA, 253 nt
Filed under: uncultured bacterium
Lineage: Bacteria
Also listed under: 1 other name
Description: partial 16S ribosomal RNA
Rfam family: Bacterial small subunit ribosomal RNA
Source: RNAcentral